Molecule: ribosomal RNA, 473 nt
Filed under: uncultured soil bacterium
Lineage: Bacteria
Description: bacterial SSU rRNA
Rfam family: Bacterial small subunit ribosomal RNA
Source: RNAcentral
AGGACGAACGCUGGCGGCGUGCUUAACACAUGCAAGUCGAGCGGUAAGGCCUUUCGGGGUACACGAGCGGCGAACGGGUGAGUAACACGUGGGUGAUCUGCCCUGCACUUCGGGAUAAGCCUGGGAAACUGGGUCUAAUACCGGAUAUGACCUCCUAUCGCAUGGUGGGUGGUGGAAAGAUUUAUCGGUGCAGGGAUGGGCCCGCGGCCUAUCAGCUUGUUGGUGGGGUAAUGGCCUACCAAGGCGACGACGGGUAGCCGACCUGAGAGGGUGACCGGCCACACUGGGACUGAGACACGGCCCAGACUCCUACGGGAGGCAGCAGUGGGGAAUAUUGCACAAUGGGCGAAAGCCUGAUGCAGCGACGCCGCGUGAGGAUGACGGCCUUCGGGUUGUAAACCUCUUUCAGCAGGACGAAGCGCAAGUGACGUACCUGCAGAAGAAGCACCGGCUAACUACGUGCCAGCAGCCGC